This is a non-coding RNA of Gossypium hirsutum (cotton), 106 nucleotides long. Lineage: Eukaryota; Viridiplantae; Streptophyta; Magnoliopsida; Malvales; Malvaceae. The record is from Rfam.
AAUCCGUGAUGCGGACAUUUCUAAACCAACAUUUUAAAAUGUUCCCAAGCCUCAUAGAAACUUUCUCCUUCCAUCUAUCUGAAGACAACAAUAUCUCUUUUGAUCU